Molecule: long non-coding RNA, 211 nt
Organism: Actinia tenebrosa (Australian red waratah sea anemone)
Lineage: Eukaryota; Metazoa; Cnidaria; Anthozoa; Actiniaria; Actiniidae
Source: RefSeq, a predicted model, not a curated record
AGUCUGGAAAUUGAAACAUAAAGAAUAGUUGAAAGUGAGAUUCUUAUUCAUUCAUUUAGCAAUGUUUAGACAGGCGGUCCAGUUCAGCUACCAUCCUUCUAUUAAUCAUUCGUAACGUACUCUCCUGUACCUGUGGUUUUCUCCAGCGUGCAGAUUCCAAAAGGACUAGCUUUUGAUUGGUUGGGUUUGGGUUGACAGACCAUUCCAGGGU